UACGUAGGUGGCAAGCGUUGUCCGGAUUUAUUGGGCUUAAAGGGUGCGUAGGCGGUCUUAUAAGUCAGUGGUGAAAUACGGCAGCUCAACUGUCGAGGUGCCAUUGAUACUGUAGGACUUGAGUACAGACGAGGUAGGCGGAAUUGACGGUGUAGCGGUGAAAUGCUUAGAUAUCGUCAAGAACACCGAUAGCGAAGGCAGCUUACUAGGCUGUAACUGACGCUGAGGCACGAAAGUGUGGGGAUCAAACAGG
RNAcentral lists this ribosomal RNA (253 nucleotides) under uncultured bacterium. RNAcentral describes it as "partial 16S ribosomal RNA". It matches the Rfam family "Bacterial small subunit ribosomal RNA", at positions 524 to 776 of the family's 1533-position model. The record is from RNAcentral.